ANUUUNUUAAAACUUUCAACAACGGAUCUCUUGGUUCUCGCAUCGAUGAAGAACGCAGCGAAAUGCGAUAAGUAAUACGAAUUGCAGCCUUCGUGAGUCAUUGAAUCUUUGAACGCACAUUGCGCCUGUAAAGGCACGCCUGUGUGAGCAUGAAAAUCCUCUUUGGCAAUGGGCUCUAGCCUAAAUUUUGUCAGACUGUGCAAUAAACCUCACUAGUCUUUAUUUUUUCUCACAUCAGG
This 239-nucleotide unclassified non-coding RNA is filed under the name [Candida] sp. CLIB 1736. RNAcentral's name for it is "Candida sp. CLIB 1736 sequence contains ITS1, 5.8S rRNA gene and ITS2". The stretch from base 11 to 153 matches the Rfam family "5.8S ribosomal RNA". Rfam says of the family: 5.8S ribosomal RNA (5.8S rRNA) is a component of the large subunit of the eukaryotic ribosome. The record is from RNAcentral. Lineage: Eukaryota; Fungi; Ascomycota; Saccharomycetes; Saccharomycetales.